GGCAAUAAAGACAGAAAGAAUUCACAGAGCGAACAGUGACAUCAAUAUGUGGGCUAAGUGCCGGUGACUGUCUGAUGUACGACUCUUGUAAACUCAGCCAAGCAAUCUGUUCAAAAGAUGUCUUUUGAUGUGGAAGCGCAUUGAGCGAGUCAAACAACAGCCCUUUUUUGUGUCCGGCAUUAUCCUCCUGUGCCAAAAUUUGUAGCUUCGCGCUCGUGUCUAGCAUAACAGAGACAUUGUGGUGAUGUGAACAGUAUACUUUCACAGCUACAGACGAGUUAGUGGGUGGUCUUAGGCGAGCUUGUACAAUGAGGCUGAACUCGGCAGCAGCAGCUAUGGAGACAACUCUCUUACACAAACACAGAGCUCUACCUGUGAAAAAGACAACAACGUGCGACAACCAGGAUAAACUGCCAUCUGGCUGCUGAUACACCAAAGUGACAAGACAACAGUAAGGUGUCCUGUAGUAAGUACAAAGACAGGAUGAAGGUAAAGGCAUGAAGAAUAAAAGGUGCUGGUUCGUUUUAUAGAAACCCUCCAUGACAUAAUACCCAGCUUCACGUCACAAUGCCUGACACCAGUAUCAUAAAUGUGUGUGAUCAGGUAUCAGCGAGUACGCUUGUCUGCACUGAUCGGAUAUCAUGUCAUUUAUUAGUGCCAAAACAGAGCCUUGAUCCUUUCAUGACAGUCAUCAUAGAGGUUAGGGUUAGGGUAUUUAGGGUCAUACACCGGUUCAAACGGUUACACCCAGUGUUGGACAUUAUACAGAGUUCAGGUAUCGUACUUGGGAAGGAUAAAACAUCCUCUGCCUGUGCCAACACAGAAGACAGUGUUUACUAGUUAUGGCUGAAAUGGGUAGGAUUUCAGUACAUAGGUAUGUGACAGAAAGAGAUGGCGUCCUCAUUCUACCUUCACUGUUUCUAUGCACGUUUUAAAGUAGGGCUUAGCAGAGUUAACUUCAGGUCCAUCAAAAAGCCCUGCAUCUCUUAACAAACAGAGGCCCACUGCUAAGAGCUUACAUGGCAGAGGUUCUCAGGUAUUCUCCUAGUGUAUGCUGUAUUGUUAUGAAGACCAGACAGGUAAAGGGAUCUCAAGUAGCUUUUUGGAAGUAGGUAACCUUGUUUUUACACCCAGGCAAACUUUUUCUUCUAACUAUAAAAAGGUGCUGGGGUUCUGUUAAUUGUUCUACUCUUUGCUCAGCCUGGCGUAAUUCUUUGCAAUUGCAACCACUAACAGGAAAGGAUGGUGUAUGUGUGUUGGUUCCUAAAAAGCCAUUCUGAACUUAAAAUCUGCACCUCUGGCCACCACCACGUUUGUAGUCCAGCGUGUAGUCCUGGAGACUGACUCGUUCUGUGGCCAGCCUCAAGUGGACAUUUGAGGAACUGCAGUUUGUCUGCAUUAACGUCACUUCACAGCCACGGACGUCGCUGUCUGCUGCCAACCAGUUCAUGCAGCUACACCAGAGAAGCUGGAAACAUACAGAACUGCUGUGAAUCAUCUGAUAUCUAAUUGCUGGUUUUAACCAAACACAUGACCACAGGUGUCACUACAUGGUUCUUAAGCUUUGCACACUCCUGUGCCCUGAGCCAAUGUGUUGGAGGGUUGGGAAAAGUACAGACACCUAUUCAAAGCGAAACUACAUUCCAGGGCACCUAAAGUAAAAUAAAGGAUCUACAAUCACAGCGAUGCUAUCCACUAUCCAUGAACUAUCAAACUGUACUUUGAUCUACUGACAACCACACACCGCUCUGCUGCAGAGAUAAACAUACAGAGAUGUUAUCCGGUACAAACACAACGUUUAUUUUAUUUAAUAGCAAAGACACACCUGGUUGGUUGAAUCGGCUACGGCAUUAACAACAAUCGGCUCGCCCGCUGCUGUAAAAACCAAACCACAACGUAAAGUUUGUUUUUUUUGUUUCUUUGUGUAACCUCCCCCCAAAAAACAAACUGCUGUUUAAUACAGAGAGAGGAACAGAGAGACGGGCCAGCUGCUGUGUACAGUAAGAGACAGAGGUGUCUGUGUGUGUGUAGGUGUGUGUGUGUGUGUGUGUUUGUGUGAAAGAGAAAUGAAAGCAAGAUGAACAGCUGAAAGUAGUUUGUGAGUAAAAACAAAAGUUGGUGGCAUAAGAAAUAACCUUGUUGAAAUAUGGAAAUAUAUGAUUGAAAGUGUCAUUCUGGGAAACACUGCACUUCUCUGUGUGUACUUUGUUUAUUCUUUAAAAAAAAAAAAAAAAGAGAUUGUAUCCAAGUUUUGAAUUCUUGUACUGCACUCGAGAGCAUGCUGAUCAUUCCACAGUGACAUGAAUUAGGUCUGCAGCAGUUCACUCUUUAACAGACUGAGAGUGUGAAGAUAAAUGUAAGACAAUAAAAUGAUUGAGAAGAUUUGCCUCAAUGUGGCUGACUAAUUGACUUCCUCACUAACUCCAGUAUAUCAUGUAACUACCACACGAUUACAAGGACCACAACCAGCGUGCACCGUGCCCAAUGCUACGCUCUGCUUCAUGUACACGUAGUACCACGUACAGUCGGAUGAAGGCCGUUACAAGAAAACUCAAACCUUAGUUAAAGCAGCUGCAGGCAGGCCUUACCUAUGAACCCUAUCAUGCUGAACCUAAAGAAAAUACCUCAAGUGUGUUAUUUACAUUUUGAUUCUAACAAACGUGUGGGCUGCUCAGGUUUCCUCUAACGCUUCUUUUCUUUUUUUUAAUAUGUAUUCUGUCUCUCUUAAUUCUUUGGUUUAGGUUGGUUUGGUAACGUGUCUGAAAAUAGUGUGAAAUGACCAGAUCUUAGAGAGACAUCUCCAAAUGUCUUGUUGUGUCUGACCAAAAGGACGAAAUCUAAAGAUGGUCUAGACUAAACAAAAAUUUCAGAUGCUGUAACAGCAUCUGGCUUCUGAAAUCUUUGUUUAGUCUAGACCAUCUUUAUGUUUUCGUCCUUUUCUACAUUUUGAGUUAAAAAAGUUUUUUUCACAGCAGCCAUUUUGUCAUGCAACAGUUAACACAGGUGUGACCAAUGACACUAGUUAAGGAAGCGAGCCUUACUUAGUCUCAAACAGUCACACCUGUGUUUUAGAACUGUGAUGUGACUGAUGUGUUUGUCUACAUCCUCUCCACCUGUCACCUGCUGGGUGGGGUAGGGUGGGGUAAUUAAGUAGUAAGUAGUAAGCAAGUCAUUUUUUAAUUAAAUAAAUUGAUUUAGAAACAUGUAAUACUACUACUACUAAUAUAAUACUACAAGAACAUGAAGGAAAAUAUGUCUCCAUGGUGACGUCACGUUCAUGCAGUAGCUUGUAGCGCACACACAUCCAGGAUUAGUGAUGAGCUGAAAGGUGACAGGGAGAUGAAGGUGGAGCUGAAACCAGCAGCUCUGGUUCUUGAAUUGACUCCAUUCAGUCAGCAAUAAAACAUCUUCCUAAUAAGAACAAACCUUCCUCCUGUGUGACCCGUCUUGUAUUUCCACGUCUGUUAUACUUGUGGUACUUGGACAGUGGUUUGAAUCCAUUGGCCGGGGCCAGCCGGGAUCACACUUGUUGAGACUUGGACGUGCAGCUGGGGCUCAAUCCAGGGGUCACAAUGAAAGCCUUACAGCCUACAGUGACAUGACGGAUGGAAGCCGAAUGGAGGCAGAGCUCAGAGAUGAUCGAAGGCAGAAAGGUGC
Larimichthys crocea (large yellow croaker) is the source of this 3657-nucleotide long non-coding RNA. RefSeq lists it as uncharacterized. The record is from RefSeq and is a predicted model, not a curated record. The transcript has 2 exons. Lineage: Eukaryota; Metazoa; Chordata; Actinopteri; Sciaenidae.